Molecule: unclassified non-coding RNA, 401 nt
Filed under: fungal sp.
Lineage: Eukaryota; Fungi
Description: partial internal transcribed spacer region
Rfam family: Eukaryotic small subunit ribosomal RNA (bases 1-46)
Source: RNAcentral
AAGUCGUAACAAGGUUUCCGUAGGUGAACCUGCGGAAGGAUCAUUAACACGUAUCCAACGUUAAACAACCCUGUGAACCUUGAACGUGCUCCUGCAGCCCCAUGAAAUCAGCAAUCCCUGGUAAAUCAUUGUUGACCAGCUUUUGAGUCAGGGACCUCUGCCGAAACGGCUGUUCAGUACCGAGCGCGGUGUAAGCGACCUGGCAUCCCCAAGCGAUCAGUGUCUGAAAGUGUCACUGGCUCUGUAAGAAUGGCGCAGUCACGAUCGCUAGAGGCCGACACGGCCGGCGACCGGGUCACCGGGCUCACGCCCCCCUAUCACCCCUUUGCAUGAAAACGGGCCUGCGCUUAAUUGUGCGGCCAUAAACCGAACAACUGUUAACAAUGGAUAUCUUGGUUCUC